RNAcentral lists this long non-coding RNA (2207 nucleotides) under Mizuhopecten yessoensis (Yesso scallop). RNAcentral's name for it is "uncharacterized LOC110464924". The record is from RNAcentral. Lineage: Eukaryota; Metazoa; Mollusca; Bivalvia; Pectinida; Pectinidae.
UUCUGCCAACGCUAACUUUUCGCUGGCACGCUGUUGUUUCCCCCACAGAACGGUAAAGACGUAGCCACGUAUUGAUCGGUCGUGUGACUUGACUAGUUUAUAGAAUACACGAUAAAUAAUAUUGAUGAACAAUUGAAUUCUGCAGUCAUUCACACGAGUAAUCUCAGACUGGCAGUAGGAGAACUACCAUCAUCUGGACAGAAGGCUUAACAGUCAGCAUAGCGAGUCAGGAAACAUCCAAAUAUAUUUAGAUCGGCACCAACGUUGAUAGCCUGGCCUACCGAUGGUUACAUUUCAGGAUCCUUCCGACUGUCAGAGUCAAGCUCACACAUUAGCAAUGAAUGUUUUCGUCAUGAUGAAAAAAGACGAAUCGCGUUUGAUACGAAAAGCCAAGCAACUUGUGAAAAAGCGAAGAAAUUUUGCCAGGAAAGUUUUUAUCGAAAAUGUGGAUGGAUGGACGCCUGUUCAUGCCUGCGCUUUACGUGGGUCUAAAAAGUUACUGAAAGUAAUGCUUGGUUCUGGUUUUGAUAUCGACACUCAAAUGGGUCAGCCAGAAGGACUUCCGAACAGCUGCACAUUACUGCACAUAGCUGCCUAUAGAGGUGAUCCGAGUAUUUGUAAAUAUCUUAUUUCCUGUGGGGCCAAAGUAGAUGCCAAAGACAGUUUCGGUCGCACUCCACUAUACUACGCCGCUCGCCAUAACAGUCGCUGUCUACUCAAAUGUUUUGAGAAAACUGGGGCUGACAUAAGUGUUCUCGACAAAUUGCUUCCGAAUUGGCAAUCGGAUAUCUCAAAUGAAUGCAUGACACCUCAAGCAAAGACGGCGACUUUUUGUUUCUUCGGAAAGUGAUCUGUCGAACUGAACAUAUCUGCUGUUAUGUUCAAUUGCGUCCAUCGAAAUGUGAUAUUCGUUUUCCAGACCAAUAAUGUUUUUGUUUUGUAUUUGCAUCAUCAUGCUGACAUGUAGUUAUGAUAAUAACUACCUUAAUUUGUUUAACAAUGCCUUGAAGUGAAUAAUUAAGAAAGUGUGGAUGAGGUGGUUUCUUGGGGUGUUUUCCUUGUUUCGCCUUGUUGACAUGCGCUAUUAUCAUUGGUUUGUCUGUACCCUCUAUCCGGUAUCAUUGCACGUCUAAUGCAGACCUCAUAGAGUAUCGGAGCUGUCUUUGUGUGUCCCCUUUACUAUAGUUGCAGAUUAUAUCAGAUAGUUACUAGUUAAAGGUGCCUCAUAUGCUGUAUGCAUGCGUGUCUGCUACAAAGUGAAUAUCACGUGCUGCGCUCAGUGACGUUAAUUGGGACUGCCUGAUAAUAACACCAAAAUAGAACAAUCACGUGUUUAAAUAAUUGCCAUAAACAUGAAUUGACGGCGACAGGUUAUGACAUUACUAGACGGUGAGAGAAACAGACUAAUCACCAUAUCAAGUCAUCAUAUACCAGCGUUAGGUGUCCAUAAGUAGUAAAAGAAACCACAGCAAAACAUAAAUAUCUAUAUGCUGAAUUGUCGUAUUAAUAAACGUAUAAUAUUCAAGACAGACAAGUGUUGUUAACCAUACAAUCGAACUCAAUGGUCCUUUGCUAUUAGAAAUAAAAAGGAUUCUUUAAUUUGAGGGAAGCGUUAAGGUCCUCGCCAGGGAUAUAUCACGAGAUCCUAAGAUGACAUCAAAAAGAAAGUGUAAAUCUAACAGAAAAAAAGGAAAUUAAAAGUAAUGAAGCAACAAAUACUUUUUUGUGUCUUCAAUGUUCACAAAAGUAGAACACACAGAAUGGAAUAUCCAAUUCUGUCUGUAGAGGGCCUAUUACUCGCCUCUUAUUUACGAAUAAGAUGCAGAGGUUUCCCUUCAAUUCUUGCAUGUUUAAGAAUGUUCCCACAUGAUGAAAUAUAUACCAUAUCUCCUGUGUGGUACGACAUACGUUUUAAAUAAAGGUGUAAUGGAUUACAAAAUGUGUAGGUCUGAAAAAGCAAUAUAUGUUAUAUGUUUCGUUUAUUUCACAUUUAUAUGGAAGCUUAGCCUAGCCAAACUAGCACGUGCAGUAUUGUAACAUAGAGAAGUGACGUUACUCACACUUCGGAGAGGUAUCCGAGUUGACCAAACAAGCCGUCCUCAUGUUAUAAUGUCACAGACCGUGGUACCACAACACUGACCUCGUCUUGUAUCUGUUGGACACAUGUGUGAAUGCAGGAAAUAAUAAAAAAAACUAUCUGAAAUCGA